RNAcentral lists this ribosomal RNA (494 nucleotides) under uncultured bacterium. Its description in RNAcentral is "bacterial SSU rRNA". It matches the Rfam family "Bacterial small subunit ribosomal RNA", at positions 26 to 518 of the family's 1533-position model. The record is from RNAcentral.
AGGACGAACGCUGGCGGUAUGCUUAACACAUGCAAGUCGAACGAGAAACUUCGCUUGGAUCCUUCGGGAUGAAAAGUGAGGAAGAAAGUGGCGAACGGGUGAGUAACGCGUGGGCAACCUACCUCACGGAAAGGGAUAGCCUCGGGAAACCGGGAGUAAAACCAUAUAAGACCACAGCGUCGCAUGACGCAGGGGUCAAAACUCCGGUGCCGUGAGAUGGGCCCGCGUCCCAUUAGCUAGUUGGCAGGGUAAAGGCCUACCAAGGCGACGAUGGGUAGCCGGUCUGAGAGGGCGAACGGCCACAUUGGAACUGAGACACGGUCCAAACUCCUACGGGAGGCAGCAGUGGGGAAUAUUGCGCAAUGGGGGAAACCCUGACGCAGCAAUACCGCGUGAGCGAAGAAGGUUUUCGGAUCGUAAAGCUCUGUUAUCGGGGAAGAAGAAGUGACGGUACCCGAUGAGGAAGUCCCGGCUAACUACGUGCCAGCCGCGGC